Asparagus officinalis (garden asparagus) is the source of this 723-nucleotide long non-coding RNA. RefSeq lists it as uncharacterized. The transcript is spliced from 2 exons. The record is from RefSeq and is a predicted model, not a curated record. Lineage: Eukaryota; Viridiplantae; Streptophyta; Magnoliopsida; Asparagales; Asparagaceae.
UUUUGGUCCAAAUAAACAUAGUUCGCGACUUUUAGGAGGUGGUAAGCAAUUUUCUCUCAGUUGAAUUAAAAUAUUUUGAUUGGUACAAAUUGUCAUGUUCCAUUCAUUCAAAAUAUUUGUUGCGUUCUUCGUUUUCAUUUUUGUACACUAUAUUUUAUCUUAAUUAGUGACAACCCUGCACAUUUGACGUCCUAGAGUAAGAAUUCUUUAACAUGCACUAGAAUUUCCAUGAAUAAAAUAUAGGCAAACUCAAUGAAUAUUGAUUUUGUAAUUCUUGAUAUAAUCAUGGCAGAGUUACUAUCCUGAGAGGCUCCACAAGGCGUUUCUAGUCCAUGUACCUUAUCUUUUCAUGAAAGUGUGGAAGAUUAUAUACCCAUUCAUCGAUAAGAAGACGAAGAACAGGUUUGUGUUUGUUGAUGACGAGAACCUUGAAGAAGCGCUAUUGGAAGAAAUUGAUGAAAGCCAACUUCCAGAGAUUUAUGGGGGGAAAAUGUCACUUAUUCCUAUUGGAGCUAACUGAGAACUAAUUCGUAUGUAACUUGGGACUCAAGUCAUCACAAGAAGAACUACUGUUUUAUCCUGAAUUUUUGGGUCCAUUUCCUAAUUUGUUCUUCAGUGCGUAAAUUGUAAUGAAAUAAAUGGUCAUAUUUGUAUGUAUUUCUUUGAUAUCCAGCAUUAAGGCAUCAAUUAGAAUAAAGUGGUGAAAACUUGUGCUAAAUUUUA